Molecule: unclassified non-coding RNA, 241 nt
Filed under: Varicosporium sp.
Lineage: Eukaryota; Fungi; Ascomycota; Leotiomycetes; Helotiales; Discinellaceae
Also listed under: 3 other names
Description: partial contains 5.8S ribosomal RNA, internal transcribed spacer 2, and large subunit ribosomal RNA
Rfam family: 5.8S ribosomal RNA (bases 1-52)
Source: RNAcentral
AACGCACAUUGCGCCCCGUGGUAUUCCGCGGGGCAUGCCUGUUCGAGCGUCAUUUCAACCCAUCAAGCUUCGGCUUGGUCUUGGGGCCUGCGGUUUCGCAGCCUCUAAACCCAGUGGCGGUGCUAUUGAGCUCUGAGCGUAGUAAUUUCUCUCGCUAUAGAGUCUCGGUGGUGACUUGCCAACAACCCCCAAUUUUUAUCAGGUUGACCUCGGAUCAGGUAGGGAUACCCGCUGAACUUAA